RNAcentral lists this ribosomal RNA (417 nucleotides) under Triticum aestivum (bread wheat). Its description in RNAcentral is "partial small subunit ribosomal RNA". The record is from RNAcentral. Lineage: Eukaryota; Viridiplantae; Streptophyta; Magnoliopsida; Poales; Poaceae.
AUGGCAUGCUUGACUGUCAGUCCUCUCACACCCCUGUUGAUACCAGUUUCAAACUAUCCGCUGACGGUGAACCUUUCCAUGAUCCUACUCUGUACCGUAGUCUAUCUCACUAUCACUCGUCCUGAAAUUUCCUUUGCUGUUCAACAAGCAUGUCUCCAUAUGCAUGAUCCACGGCUUCCGCAUUAUAAUCAUGUCAAACGUGUUCUUAGGUAUUUGAAAGGUACUCUUGAUCAUGGUCUUCACAUCAAUAAGUCCACUCCUCAUUCUCUCACCACAUACUCUGAUGCAGACUGGGCUGGUUGUCCAGACACUCGACGAUCCACAUCCGGUUUUUGUGUUUUUCUGGGUAACAAUUUGAUUUCUUGGUCCUCAAAAAGACAGGUUACGGUCUCCCGCUCGUCCGCUGAAGCUGAGUAC